This 466-nucleotide ribosomal RNA is filed under the name uncultured bacterium. Its description in RNAcentral is "partial 16S ribosomal RNA". It matches the Rfam family "Bacterial small subunit ribosomal RNA", at positions 28 to 507 of the family's 1533-position model. The record is from RNAcentral.
GAUGAACGCUGGCGGCGUGCUUAACACAUGCAAGUCGAACGAUGAAGCCCAGCUUGCCGGGUGGAUUAGUGGCGAACGGGUGGGUAACACGUGAGUAACCUGCCCUUAACUCUGGGAUAAGCCUGGGAAACUGGGUCUAAUACCGGAUAGGAGCGUCCACCGCAUGGUGGGUGUUGGAAAGAUUUAUCGGUUUUGGAUGGACUCGCGGCCUAUCAGCUUGUUGGUGAGGUAAUGGCUCACCAAGGCGACGACGGGUAGCCGGCCUGAGAGGGUGACCGGCCACACUGGGACUGAGACACGGCCCAGACUCCUACGGGAGGCAGCAGUGGGGAAUAUUGCACAAUGGGCGCAAGCCUGAUGCAGCGACGCCGCGUGAGGGAUGACGGCCUUCGGGUUGUAAACCUCUUUCAGUAGGGAAGAAGCGAAAGUGACGGUACCUGCAGAAGAAGCACCGGCUAACUACGUG